RNAcentral lists this ribosomal RNA (403 nucleotides) under uncultured bacterium. Its description in RNAcentral is "bacterial SSU rRNA". It matches the Rfam family "Bacterial small subunit ribosomal RNA", at positions 975 to 1375 of the family's 1533-position model. The record is from RNAcentral.
CUGGGCUAGAAUGCCUCUGACAACCCUAGAGAUAGGGCUUCCUAGGGAAACCUAGGCAGAGUGCAAGGUGCUGCAUGGCUGUCGUCAGCUCGUGUCGUGAGAUGUUGGGUUAAGUCCCGCAACGAGCGCAACCCUUAUCGAUAGUUGCUAGCGGUUCGGCCGAGCACUCUAUUGAGACUGCCGUUGACAAAACGGAGGAAGGUGGGGAUGACGUCAAGUCCUCAUGGCCUUUAUGUCCAGGGCUACACACGUGCUACAAUGGACGGUACAAAACGUCGCAAUCCCGCAAGGGGGAGCUAAUCGCUAAAACCGUUCUCAGUUCGGAUUGAAGUCUGCAACUCGACUUCAUGAAGUUGGAAUCUCUAGUAAUCGCAAAUUAUCAUGUUGCGGUGAAUACGUUCCC